GGCUCUUAUUCAAAAACAACUGAAAAAACAAUUGGUGGGCCCGCCGGUUAGUGAGACUAAUAUGAUGUAGGCAUGAUCUUGUUUCUGCAUAUUAUUUCUGUUAUUGCUCAUAAUAAUAACCCGACGCCAUCUCCUUGAGCGACAAUUUUCAUGCUCAUAAAUUACAAGCAUAGAUAAUGAUUUUAACACAGAAUCAGAAAUCGCCUUAGCAACUCUCCAAACAGUAACAGAAUCUGAAAUCACAUGGCAACUCGUUUUCCAAACAGAAACUGAGAACACAUCAAAACCACGAACGGCUACUUCAGAAAGGCGAAACAUAAUCCAUGGGUCCAUAUGGCUCAAACAGUUCAGCAAAGAAUCCUCUCUUUCUCUUUGGGUUCCAUCCCAUGUCUUUGCAGAGUUGAUCAUUGUACCAUAUAUGAAGAGUAGCAAUGCAUGAUCUCUUGUAAUAGGGCCCUGAAUAUCGUUUCUUAUAUUGAUCCCAUUUUUCCACAUCUUCUUCCAUCUCUUUUAUGCUAGGCGUCUUGAAUGUACCAUCAAGAAGCUCUGCUAGCCAUCGGCUUCUUAUCUCUGAGGUGUACAAGUUGGAAAGACUUUCUGAAAAUCCGAUCACUGCCAGCUGUGGAAUUUGUGGAUGAAUGCAUUCCCUGUAGAGAGGAAUUGCUGUAGUAGGGGACCCAACUAAGCAUUCUUGAAACAUUGCAGACAUAAAGAUGUCUUUGAGCUUCUUAUCACCUUUAAAACCUGUAGCCAAUAUGACCAGAUCAGUCUCUAGAGUUUGGUCCUCGCCAUCAACAUUAAUGCCUUCUUUGCAGAAGCUGAAACUUGGAGCUUUCUUCAAUAUGAUGCUUCCCUCUUCAACUUUGUCAUAAAAUUUGUCUGGAAUCGUUGAGACUGUACAAGAAUUAAUUUCUUGAAGGAAACUGUGUUUGGGCACCAUUCCAAAUUUAGCCAAUGGAAGCUUAUUCUUGCAAUGGCUUUCCAUAAAUUUUGAAAAAGCCCAUCUCAAAGGUGUGAGAAUAUUUGCCAAAAGACUGAGUAGGAAACCUUCACCAGGCUUAUGAACGACGAGUUCUGAGAAGCGAUUGAGAUAGAAAUAGGCUAGAGGCACCCCCCAAGGAAGGUAGUCAGGGACAGUCCAAUGUUCAGUUUUGUAUAAAACUCUGCAUGGACGUUCAACCCCAUUUGCUGCACAGCACUCCAUUGCAAUAUCCAGUGCAGAUUUCUGGAACCCCACAACAGUAACUCGCUUCCCAUGUAAGAACUUCCUAGCACUUUGAAAAUCCAUGUUGAAGUAGUCCACUGCAUGUAUC
RNAcentral lists this unclassified non-coding RNA (1313 nucleotides) under Hevea brasiliensis (rubber tree). Lineage: Eukaryota; Viridiplantae; Streptophyta; Magnoliopsida; Malpighiales; Euphorbiaceae. The record is from RNAcentral.